Small nucleolar RNA from Patiria miniata (bat star), 86 nucleotides. NCBI's taxonomy places the organism in Eukaryota, Metazoa, Echinodermata, Asteroidea, Valvatida, Asterinidae. The record is from RefSeq and is a predicted model, not a curated record.
CUGCAGUGAUGUUGUGAAUUUCUUCACCUGAAGAGCUCCCAGGGCUCUCUGUGUGGAUUAAACGGAGCUUUUUAAAUCUGAGCAGG